GACGAACGCUGGCGGCGUGCUUAACACAUGCAAGUCGAACGGAAAGGCCCUGCUUUUGUGGGGUGCUCGAGUGGCGAACGGGUGAGUAACACGUGAGUAACCUGCCCUUGACUUUGGGAUAACUUCAGGAAACUGGGGCUCAUACCGGAUAGGAGCUCCUGCUGCAUGGUGGGGGUUGGAAAGUUUCGGCGGUUGGGGAUGGACUCGCGGCUUAUCAGCUUGUUGGUGGGGUAGUGGCUUACCAAGGUUUUGACGGGUAGCCGGCCUGAGAGGGUGACCGGCCACAUUGGGACUGAGAUACGGCCCAGACUCCUACGGGAGGCAGCAGUGGGGAAUAUUGCACAAUGGGCGGAAGCCUGAUGCAGCAACGCCGCGUGCGGGAUGACGGCCUUCGGGUUGUAAACCGCUUUCGCCUGUGACGAAGCGUGAGUGACGGUAAUGGGUAAAGAAGCACCGGCUAACUACGUG
This 468-nucleotide ribosomal RNA is filed under the name uncultured bacterium. RNAcentral's name for it is "partial 16S ribosomal RNA". It matches the Rfam family "Bacterial small subunit ribosomal RNA", at positions 28 to 507 of the family's 1533-position model. The record is from RNAcentral.